UGUGUGAGGACUUUCUGCUGCUGAGAGUCGACUGGUUACAUUGUGCCAUUGAGAGGAAACAGGAGCAGCGAGUGGAUGACUUCACGGUGCCGUCCACUGCGUCCAGACAGAGUGUUGUAAGAUAAUACGAAGCACCAGUCAGAGGAGGUGCUGGGGGAACCGGAGGCAGUUUCCAGGAGCUUCCCAUUCCCCAGAGGUCAGAGGAUCUGUGAUGGAGGACAGUCUGCACCCUGGCGACCAGGUUCUCCCGGGCUCGGCUGAUUUCCAGAGGCGAGAGGCAGCAGGCCAAAGAAGAGUCUUCUCCUCCCUGCUCCUUCUUUGUCAUGGGGUUUGUAAAUAAAGUUGUGUUUUGAC
Long non-coding RNA from Pseudoliparis swirei, 354 nucleotides. RefSeq lists it as uncharacterized. The record is from RefSeq and is a predicted model, not a curated record. The transcript is spliced from 3 exons. Lineage: Eukaryota; Metazoa; Chordata; Actinopteri; Perciformes; Liparidae.